This is a long non-coding RNA of Gastrolobium bilobum, 1842 nucleotides long. RefSeq lists it as uncharacterized. The transcript is spliced from 4 exons. The record is from RefSeq and is a predicted model, not a curated record. Lineage: Eukaryota; Viridiplantae; Streptophyta; Magnoliopsida; Fabales; Fabaceae.
UAAUUUCCCCUCAUCUCUUUCUUUUUUGUAUCUGAUAGGGUUGUUAAUUGUUAUCCAUCCAUCUCUCGCUCUCAUCAGCUCCUUUCAUUGUAGCUGGCGUCGAUGCUGUAACCGUUGGGGUUUAUCUCCUUCGAAAAUCUCCGGUUCGUGUUAUUGAGGCAAGUAUCCGGUUGCUGUAGCUGGCGUCGCUGCUGUAGCUGAAGAAGUUCUUCCAUUUUGAUAGGGUUACAAUAUCCACAGUUUAGCAAUCUCGUUGCGGUGACCGUCCACAAAUAUCAAUUGGUCAAGAGAUCCUGAUGGAAGAUAACUUGCCCGAUGAUGAGAUAGAAAUUGAAUUGUCUCCUAUAGCUGUACAAUUGGCCUAUGUCCAGCAGUGGCAGUGAACAAUCUUGUUUCACUGAAAGGUACAAAAGAUGCUUCUGAUAGCCUAAGGAAACUUGAUCGGCUAAAAGAGAAAGAGACGCAGAACUUUCGGCUAGCUCGUGGACUGGAUUUGAAACUUUCAGCAAAGGAAAGGGAGAAAGAGAAAGCUAAGGAAAGGAGAAAGAGAAAGCCAAGGUAUCCUAAAGGGUUUGACCCUGCAAAACCAGGUCCUCCCCCAGAUCCAGAGAGGUGGCUUCCCAAGCGGGAGAGAUCAACUUAUAGGCCUAAGAGGAAGGACAAAAGAGCUGCUCAGGUGAGAGGUUCUCAGGGUGCUGUAGUUAGAGAAAAGCACGGUGCUGUUGCCUUUUCCAGCAAUUCAAAUCCUAAAUCAAACCAGUCAACUGCCUCCAAAGGAGCUACGCAGAAUGCAGUUUGAGCAAAGCAAGCCUUCAUCAUCCAAGUCGAGAAAGAAGUCUUUGAAUUGACCAGGUUUUAUGGUAAUUUUAUUAACAUUUUUUAUUCCAGAAAACUUGUUAAUGCUGCUUUCAGUGACUAAGCCAAGGUUCCAUCUACAAUUUGUGGGUUCAAUUUCAAAACCGUCUGUUUUGGUUCUAGCUAAUGAGUAUGUCUGUUAGAUGCAAGUGUUGUGCAAGUUUGUCAUGCUUAAUUUAUAAGUUUUGGAGAUUCAUGGAAAUUUGGCUGUGGUCUUUUCUAAUUGGUCAAGUAUAUUUAUUAUAGUUGUUAAAUUUUUUUAUAUUUAUUAUCUAACUGUAUUGAUACUGAUAAAUCAUCGGAGAAUUCUGACUAUUACAAUCGUUAUUGAAAAGUUUAAAUUUUUAGUCAUGGAUUAAUGCACCUCGGGAUCAUACUGUAUCAAUAGUUUAUCAAAUUUAUCUCUUCGUAAUACAUCUUUAGACACAUCGCUAUCAACUUAUAUUUUUGGUCAUGUGGUUUCUUAGAAAGAACAACUUGAAAAUAGAAAUACCUCUUGCAGCUAGAGACAUUGACUUAGGUGCUACCAAUGAGAAACAACCAUAGUCAAAUCCAGAGAUAGGUUCUACAUCUCAAUGGGUACGCAAGAGGAAGGGUCUUGCAACCACCUGCAGAGGAAGACUAACACUGCAAAGUAACAUAGUUGCUGUACCUGAUAAGCUUGCAGAUGUUGUAUCAGUGAUUUGCUGAUAAAUUAUAAUGUAAGAAGAAUCUGAAGGCAACACCUGUUGGGGGAUAAUGAAGCAUCUCCACUUUGUCACAUUUGUGGAAGAGGAUCUUAAUAGCUGCGUCAUUCAUUUAACUAGUAGGGAUCUGAUAAGUUUAUACAUAGGGCUGAAUGUGUCCAAGAAGAGUAGUAUGCUGUAUAGGAAUUUCCUUGUGUACUUUGAUCUUUGAUUACACUUUGUUCAUAGUCAUGUACAAUUCUGAUGUGUAACUUAUCAAGCAACUAAAUAUAUUUCAGUGAUUCAAUUAAUAUGAAGCAAU